This 2103-nucleotide long non-coding RNA is filed under the name Sorghum bicolor (sorghum). RNAcentral's name for it is "long non-coding RNA (SBIC_LNC018758)". Lineage: Eukaryota; Viridiplantae; Streptophyta; Magnoliopsida; Poales; Poaceae. The record is from RNAcentral.
CUUCGUAAAACUGAUUCGUCGCUCCUAGUAGAAUCAAAAUCAACAAAAUAAUACUAGAAGUAUUCAUCAACACCUUUGGCAUGAUAGAGAAAUUGUCUCUUGAAUGGAUCAUCUAUGUUCAGGCAAUACGUAACCUGAGCACACUGUACUGAUUGAAACAACUGCCUACAACGUCCGGAAAUAAUUGAGCACACAGUAAUAAUUGUUUUUUUUUUGUUGAACUAAUACAGGUUUGAAGGAAAAAAGCACUCAAUGCUGCAAGUAUGGACGUUUCAGUGCUAAAAUCACUUCUUGAAUGGACCAUCCUCUAUAUAAUCUAGGAGCAGACCAAUCCCCAUUCCCAUCAGUACAGUAGCGCAGUUCUUCCCCAAGAUGGGAAAAGAAGAACAUCUCCACAAAUUGACAUUAAUCCCAUCUCAAUCUCGUUUCCCCUUGUCUUACAUCCCAAAUCAACACAAAUUCUAAUCCCAAUCUCAUUGUCCCUAUUUUCUCCCAUACCAAUCAACACAAAAAAUACUCCCUAAAUUCCUUUGGGCUAUAGGGCUGAAGGCAACCCGGACAGGAAGCAGGCGGCGGACUGCUGUGCAGCGCAGUAAGGAUGGGGGGAGGGUACAGCGCCUGGGGACGAUGAGGACGGGGAGCUCACCAAGACCGCAGAGGAGCACCGGCAGUGGCGGAGCCAGGAUUUCACAGCUAGGUAUUCCACGUACAUAAAAUUUUUUGAGUAAAGUCUACUAGCGGUUCUCAAACUUGUUCAACUGUGUCAUCUUGGUUCUUAAACUUGCAAGAUGCGUCAUCUCGGUCUUUAAACUCGCAAAUCAACCGUUUAGGUCCUCAAACUUGUUCACUUGUGUAAUUCCGGUCCCUAAACUCGCAAAUCACUCGUGUACUUUACUAAAAACUUUUCAUGCAAAUGUAUAAUAGUAAUUACCAAAAGAGUAAAGUCCAUCACCGGUUCCUAAACUUAUUUGGGUGUGCCAUCUCGGUCCCUAAACUCGUAAAACGACCGUUUAGGUACCUAAACUUAUCCAGUUGUGUCAUCCUAGUCCCUAAACUUGGAAAUUUCUCAUAUAGGUCCUCAAACUUGUUCAGUUGUGUCAACUUGUUUUUAAGUCUCGUCUGGGUUAAAACAGAGUGAAUCUAAAAACUCUAUAUCGAAAAAUAACUCAUAAUUUUUUUCAUAUGAACUCAAAUGAAGAUAAACUUUAUAUCAAAAUUAUAUCCAUUUACAACUCUGUAGUUAAAAGGUUUUAAAAUUAAAAUCAAUUAGGGUCCCAAAAUUUUUUUUUAAGUUUAUAGAUUUUGAAAUUAAAAAUUAAAUUUUAUGACACUAAACGACUUUAAAUAAAAAAAAUCAACUAUAAAGUUGUAGAUCACGUUAAGGACUACAACUUUGAUAUAAAGUUUGUCUUCAUUCGAGUUCAUAUGGAAAAAUUAUGAAUUAUUUUUUAUAUAGAGUUUUUAGAUCGCUUUGUUUCGAACUAGAUGAGACUCCAAAACAAAUUUAAGGAUUGAGAUGACACAAUUGAACAAAUUUGAAGAUCUAAACGGCUGAUUUCUAAGUUACCUGGAUGUCAUAGUUGAAUAAGCUACUAUAAGCUUAGGGACCUAGAUGACACAGACAAACAAGGUCGAAGACCUAAACAGUCAAACAGUCAAUUUGCAAGUUUAAAAGUUUAAGGACUGAGAUGACAUGUAGGCACCGGUGGUGGACUUUACUCUUACCAAAAGUACAAUCUCUCAACAUAGUGAGCUGAUAUGGAAGUUUUGAAAUCCUUAGGAUAAAACUUUGUAAUAACAAGUCUAAAACGAAAUCUUAAAUUUCUGCUGUGCUCACCUUGCUUCAACGGUUCAACCUUCAAGGCUCAAGCACAAGCAGCAAGCCGGAGCCAAACCGUGCCGCCGCCCGCCAGGGCCGGGACGCCGGGUGCCGGCCGCCAGGGUUGGGUUGGGCGCAGUCGCGCCCGCGCAGGUCACGCUCGCGCAGCGCCGCAGAGCCAAGGGGAGAGGGCCGAGGGGUAGGGCGCGUGCGAGUGCCGCCGUGCUCGCCCUUUCCUUCCGCCCCUGCCUCCGCCGUUCCCCGCUGCCGGCUCCAGACGCGUG